This is a long non-coding RNA of Leopardus geoffroyi (Geoffroy's cat), 1191 nucleotides long. RefSeq lists it as uncharacterized. NCBI's taxonomy places the organism in Eukaryota, Metazoa, Chordata, Mammalia, Carnivora, Felidae. The record is from RefSeq and is a predicted model, not a curated record. The transcript has 4 exons.
GAGCCGAAGUCGGGCGCUUAACCGACUGAGCCACCCAGGCACCCCAGGCCUGGCAGUUUUGUCUGCUUCUUAUUGAAGUCUGCAAGCCAAGCCAUGUCCCGGGGUGACACUGACAAUCAGGAAGCAGCCAGAAGACCUGCGUUCACAAGCCCCUUGAAUCUGGUGGCUUGUCCGUUAGUCAAGACUGAAUUUCCCGAAGCAGACAAGGUCUGGGCAUUUGGAAGGGCUUUUGUUUGCUUGUGUGUUGUGUUUUGUUUUGUUUGAUGGGAGGGGGAUGUGGGGGCAGCUUGGAAGUGACAGAGGGUGACCGUUGACCUUUUACCCAGUUAAGGUCCUAAGGGCCCAGAGCCCAAGCGUGUGAACAGGUGGUUAAGGGACCUGGGAAGCCAAGCCACAGGCUCCCCCUUAGCCCUGCUGAUCAGGAAGCAUAAUGCAGACAAUAGUCAAUCCAUGGAAUCCUUGGACAGCCAUGUGGGGGGUUACCUCUCCCGUUCCAGCAGAAUUAUGGUGGCCAACUGAGAGACGACUGCCGGGAAGACAGGACUUGAUGGUGCACAGUCCCUCCCGCCUGGAAGCAUGCUUCUUCAGGACUGGGCCCCGCCAGAGACUCAGCCUCACAUCCGCAGCUGUCUGUCCCACCUCCGUCACCUCCCUGCAGGCUCCGGGAGGCUUAGCAGCUAGAGGUGAUAGACUCUGGAAAUCGAUGUCUGCCAGGAACUCGGAAUCUGGGUGUGCUCAGCUCUGCACACUACCCCUGACGGUCAUGGGAUCCCCUGAAACCCACCCCGCCCGACCCACCCUAAACUCAGCAUUUUGGUCAGGUCAGCAGCUGCAGUGGAAAAGACCCCUUUCCUCCAAUGGUCACGAACGUGGGUGUCCCUGCCCUACCGCUGCUGGGAAGCAAGGACAAACCAUUAACAGAACCUCGAAGUGGGGCGCGGUCCACGAGGUGGGGCUCAAGGACAGUCUUGGCUGGCUUGGCCCUCUGAAGUAGAUCUUCUUACCUCAAUCCUACAAUCAAUAGCUGCGGAGUCCGUGACUGUGCCAAGGACACACGGCCACUCAGAGGCACAACCGGGUCCAGGCUGGGCCGUCUGCCUGGGCUCCUAGUCCCUGGGGUCCUGGGGUCUGGAUCUGGUUCCCUUGGUCAUAUACUCAGCACCUGACAAUAAAUUACUUUUCUUCCAUGGC